This 439-nucleotide ribosomal RNA is filed under the name uncultured bacterium. RNAcentral's name for it is "bacterial SSU rRNA". It matches the Rfam family "Bacterial small subunit ribosomal RNA", at positions 339 to 794 of the family's 1533-position model. The record is from RNAcentral.
UUACGGGAGGCAGCAGGAAGGAAUUUUGGACAAUGGGGGAAACCCUGAUCCAGCAACGCCGCGUGGGCGAUGAAGGUCUUCGGAUCGUAAAGCCCUUUUCUGUGGGAAGAGGCAGGACGGUACCACAGGAAUAAGUCUCGGCUAACUACGUGCCAGCAGCCGCGGUAAAACGUAGGAGGCAAGCGUUAUCCGGAUUUACUGGGCGUAAAGCGCAUGCAGGCGGCCGUGCAAGUUGGGCGUGAAAUCUCUCGGCUUAACCGGGAGGGGUCGUCCAAUACUGCGGGGCUUGGGUGCAGGAGAGGGAAGCGGAAUUUCCAGUGUAGCGGUAAUAUGCGCAGAUAUUGGAAAGAACACCAGUGGCGAAGGCGGCUUUCUGGCCUGUAACCGACGCUAAGAUGCGAAAGCUAGGGGAGCGAACGGGAUUAGAUACCCCGGUAGC